Long non-coding RNA from Capsicum annuum, 1786 nucleotides. RefSeq lists it as uncharacterized. The record is from RefSeq and is a predicted model, not a curated record. NCBI's taxonomy places the organism in Eukaryota, Viridiplantae, Streptophyta, Magnoliopsida, Solanales, Solanaceae. The transcript is spliced from 2 exons.
UCCCCCCCCUCCCCCUCCUUCCCUUCCAAACACACCUUUCUCCAUUUGUGAGCACACAAAAUUUAAAAAAAAAAAAAAUGAUAUCUUCUUCUUCACUUUAUCUCUAAAUAAAAAUUUCUUCUUUUUCCACCAUUGAAGCAUUUUUUUCACUUUAUCUCUAAAAAAUUCUUUUUUUUUGCUACUGCAGCAGCCCUUCCCUUCCGAACAUUCUCCAUUUUGUUUGUUUAUAUUCUCAUUCAUCUUUUCUAUAUACUGAAUCUCUAGUCCCUGAUUAAGUCAUCGUCAAUGGUGGAUUAUGGAUCGGAUCCUCCCGGAUUCCGAUUAGCUCACAGGUAUAAACAAACUUAGUGGAUGUUGAUUGAACUGUGAACGGAAAUAUAGAACAGAGAGGAUGAAUGACUGGUGUGAUGUUUGUGUUUUUUUAAUUGAUUGAAUUUACAAUUUAAUAAAUUUCUUAAAUAAUUGGAGAAGUUGCUAGUUGUUAGUUCUGAAGGAAUUAGAAUGAAAUUAUGAAUUCGGUUUGACGGAAUUAGAAUUGAAGUAUGGAGUUUUAUUCUUCGUGAGUCAUGACAUUACCUUCAUGAAAGAGUUGUUAGUAGCUGUGAUGGGCUAGAGUGAUAGGUGGUCUACGGCUGACCCUCUGGCCAAAGAAAUUUAGAAAAGAGAUGAAGAAGAAGUAACAAGAGAGAUUGGGGCAAUUUUUUCUCCCCCUUUCUGAAAGCUAACAUUACAAUUUAAAGGAAAAAUGUAAACUACUUCUAAUAAAAUAACUGCAAAUGAAACGUGGCCUAAUAACCAUAAAUGGAAACGUGGGCAUCCCCAUUAUCUCCUUUAUUUCCGCGCAACUACGUCUAAGACUAUUUCAAAGAAAGAGCACAACUACUUCUAAGACUAUUUUAAAGAAAGAAAUCCACCACCCAUUAGUUAGCAUCAUAACAUAGAGCUGUUAUGUAAACAAUUGUACCCGCGUUGAUCUUCGUGGUUGGUUUGAUUUUUCUCCCCGACACACCAAAUUCUCUAAUUGAGCGUGGUAAAGAGGACAAGGUCAAAUCAAGACUGUUAAAAAUCAAGGAAAUUGACAAUGUUGAUGUUGAGUUUAAUGAUUUAGUUGAAGCUUCGUGUUGAGAAAACCAGUAAUCUCAAUCUGGCUUAAUUGAAGCUUCAAUUACCAUUAAUCUCAAUUACCAGAUUAAUUGCCGCAAAAAUGAUGUCUCUGAAGCCACUUUCUGAAAAUUGAGGUUCAUCUCACUCUACUACCAUCAGGUUUCCCGUAUGUUAAUCUUCUACUUUGAUUUUAUAAUUUUUAGUAAUUGUUAUUCCAUUAAAUGCAUUCUGUUUACUUUGAUUUGCCAUUUCCAAAUACUAAUUGGUGUUGUACUCGUUAAAGAUUUAUGGACUAUGAAAGAGGAAGAUGGUGGAGGUUUAAUAAGAUACAAUGGAGAAGAAGAUAUGGAGAAGAAAAUGAUGGUUAUUCUUUUUUUUUAUUUCUUUAAUGUGUCUUUUUUGAUUGGUUGGGGAUUUUUAUGUUUAUUUUUUUUAUUAAUUAUGGUUUCUCACUCUUCUAAUGGAGAGCGUAUUACACAUGUCACGCCAUGUCAAAGUCAUGUCAGCGAUUGUGCUUAAUUGACAUGGUUUAUAAAGGAGUAAAGGGUUCAAUAGGUACAUAACUUAAUUGAGGUGCCUAUCCGAAAAAAGUCGAAUAGUUCAGGAGCCUGUAUAUGUAUUCAGACAUCUAUUUUACAUCAACUACUAAAUUUUGCAAGAAUAAAAAAGUAAUUUUUGUUGG